UACGGAGGGUGCAAGCGUUGUCCGGAAUCACUGGGCGUAAAGGGCGCGUAGGCGGCUCAUGAAGGCUGUGGUGAAAGUCCGGGGCUCAACCUCGGAUCGGCCGUGGCGACUCGUGGGCUGGAGCACUGUAGAGGCGGGUGGAAUUCCGGGUGUAGCGGUGGAAUGCGUAGAGAUCGGGAGGAAGGCCGGUGGCGAAGGCGGCGCUCUGGAACAUUUCUGACGCUGAGGCUCGAAAGCGUGGGGAGCAAACAGG
RNAcentral lists this ribosomal RNA (253 nucleotides) under uncultured bacterium. RNAcentral's name for it is "partial 16S ribosomal RNA". It matches the Rfam family "Bacterial small subunit ribosomal RNA", at positions 524 to 776 of the family's 1533-position model. The record is from RNAcentral.